RNAcentral lists this ribosomal RNA (200 nucleotides) under uncultured bacterium. Its description in RNAcentral is "partial 16S ribosomal RNA". It matches the Rfam family "Bacterial small subunit ribosomal RNA", at positions 1301 to 1500 of the family's 1533-position model. The record is from RNAcentral.
UAGUCUGCAACUCGACUACAUGAAGCUGGAAUCGCUAGUAAUCGCGGAUCAGAAUGCCGCGGUGAAUACGUUCCCGGGUCUUGUACACACCGCCCGUCACACCAUGGGAGUUGGGAAUGCCCGAAGCCGGUGACCUAACCGAGAGGGAGGAGCCGUCGAAGGCAGGUCUGAUGACUGGGGUGAAGUCGUAACAAGGUACC